AAAAGAAAGGAGAACGAAGAGUUGGCUGCCUUUUCUGCUCAUUCUCUGGUAACUCUUCCUGCUCUCUAGAUCUGAAGUGAGAGGCGACCUAGGGUUUUUUGUCAUGCGAUCACCACAUCACUUCAUCAUCCCCAGAAAAUUCCAGCAACUGGCGACUUAGGGAUGGCGACUAACAAAAAACCAGUUGUGGGUUCUUCGUGUUAUAUGAUACUAAGCGAUUAGGGACUCUGAGACGACUGAGGAAAAAAAAAAGGUGAGAAAGCAGCGAGCGAGAGAAAAAUACCGACGACGACAACAACUUGGAGUUCAUGUUAGAAAGAUGGAAACAUCAUGAAGGCAAGGAGAUUGAAGUAUCACAGGAAUUUACGGUUUUGAUAGCAUAAAUUAUUUUCAGGACAGCUUUUGGAAGCAGAUCUUAGAAGGAGAAAAAAUAUUUACUAUGUUCACAAGGUUGGGUGUAAUGUAAUCAACGCCAGAAAUCAUUAUAAAAUUUAAGCACCUUAUUUGAUAAGGCAAAGCUUCCUCUUCGUAAUUUCUGUAAUUUGUGGCUACUUAGUUUUAUACUUUUGCUUCUCUAUUAAUUUUACAAUACCAUUUGUUGU
Molecule: long non-coding RNA, 602 nt
Organism: Pistacia vera
Lineage: Eukaryota; Viridiplantae; Streptophyta; Magnoliopsida; Sapindales; Anacardiaceae
Exons: 3
Source: RefSeq, a predicted model, not a curated record